RNA transcript from Juglans regia (Persian walnut), 6302 nucleotides. It is a transcript of the gene named serine/threonine-protein kinase prpf4B-like, with no coding region annotated. The record is from RefSeq and is a predicted model, not a curated record. NCBI's taxonomy places the organism in Eukaryota, Viridiplantae, Streptophyta, Magnoliopsida, Fagales, Juglandaceae. The transcript has 16 exons.
UCCACCGCGUCAUUGUUUACACUUCUGAGUCUCUCUGACUUCACAUUCCCUGUCAGCCUUUCCCACUUCGUCCCGUCUCUUAGAAACGCGAAGCCAAAAUUAAACCCUAACUCUAGAUUGGCAAUGGCCAGCGAAUCCCAUGAUAAACACCGGAGGUCUUCAUCGUUGGAAUACGAUGCCGAGAGGUCCUCUAAGCGCCACAAGCAUCGUCACCACCGGCAUCACCACCGCAGCAAGAAACGCGAAGAGGAAACCAAACGUGAGGGUGACGAUAUCAAUCGCGCUUCUCCUUCUCCUCCUCCUCCUCCAGUGGCUAUUAGUAACUUUCGCCCCGAUGACGAUGUGGAGGAGGGUGAGAUUCUUGAAGAGGAGGGUUUCGGUUUCGGUGGUGGCGAGCAGGAGAUUGCGGAAAGGAAAUCUGAGUCGGACGAAGAGUCUCGGAAAAAUGUAACCUCUGGUGUUCACUCUCAAUGGGAUCAACGAAAUCUGGGACAUCGUGCUAAGCAUGGCUCGUCUGAUCAUGAAGUUGGUGUACUCGAAGAAGACAUUCAAGGGAACAAGGGUAGAAAUAUGAAGACACUGGAGGACGACAAGAAUGAAGAAGAUUUGUUGACUGAUUUCAAAUUCGAUAAGGAAGACAAAGCUUAUAGCUGUAGUGGUGUUGGUACUGAGAUUGGCAAUGAGGUUUCUUUUCCUAGAAAUUCAAGUGUUGAGCCUCAAUAUGGCUCAAGGGGCCAAGUCAAUGGAAUUUUGGGUCACAAAGAUGAAAAGAUGUGGCCGAGGGAGUCUGGGUCCCCUUCUAAAGGAAUUGGCAAGGAAAAUACUAAUUAUGAUGAUGAAAAGGUCGAGGUUUAUAGAAGCAAGUUAAGCAUUCGGGGAAACUCGUCCUCUCAAAGCAUAGGGGACCAUGAGGAAAUUCGUACCAGGAGCCGAUCUAGGUCAAUUUAUCAUGCUAGGGAGAGAUCUCAUUCCCGUAGCAUAAGAGAAGAGGAGGAGGCUCAUUCAAAAAAAGAACGUUACUACGAGCAUGGUGCCUCAUUAUCUACUGAUAAAGGUAAGUUUGCGUAUGCCUCUGAUGAUGAAAGGAUGGCUCGGCAAAGUAAGGACAGAUGGCAUUAUAGUAGAGAUGUAGUCAGGGAUGUGGAAAGGGAAUGUAGUCCUAGUUACAAGAGGUAUAUUGGAGAGGACAGGCUUAGGAGUUGGGUUACACAAGGGAGAGAGAGGAAUAGGGAUAGGGAGAUGCACAGGGAGUUGAGGAAGGAAAAGGAACGGGAGAGGAUCAGAAACAGUGAGAUGGAUAGGGCUCAAAGGAGGGAGAAAGAACGGGAAAGGAGUAGGGAUAGGGAUAGGGAAAGGCGGAUAGAACAAGAUAGAAGUAGGGAAAGAGAGGUGGACAGGGAUAGAAGGGAGAAGGAAAGGGAAAAUACCAAAGACAUGGAGGUAGAUAGAUAUGGGAAAAGGGAGAAGGAAAGAGAUAGGAGCAAAGCUAGUGAGAGAGACAGAGUUAAAGACACAGAAAGGGAGAAGGAUAGGGACAAAGUUCGGAAGGAGAGGGAGAACGAUAGGGAGAGGCAAAAUGACAGAAAUAGGAAUAAGGAUAGGAGCAUUAUGAGGGAUAAGGAGAAGUAUGAAUUUCUUGAGGAUGGCUAUGAGAAUGGAGAUAGAUAUAAACAUCCUAGAUAUUCGAGACAUGAUGAAAAGUAUUACGACCAGGACAAAACGAAAAAAGCGCAUUCAACAAAGGUUUCUGGUUCUAGGAGUAAUUCAUUGGAAGGAAAUAGAGGCAAACUGAGGAGACAUGAUGAUGAACAAGGAGACUACGAAGAAGGGAUUGCGUUGCAGUUUGGUGAGCAGGAAGAGGAGGAUCUCAACAGAAUCAAGGAGGAGAGUAGAAGGCGACGACAAGCCAUCCUUGAAAAAUAUAAGAGUCAACCACGAUCAGAAAAUAUAGAGAAAGAUAAGGAGCCUGCACAUGAUCCUGAUCAAUCAGUAGCUGCUACUGAUGUUGUUCCUGAAGUUGGUGAUGGUAGGAGUGAUGGGUUAGAUGUCUAUGUCACUGAACCAUCAUUUUCUGUUGGGAAAUCACCUCCAAAUGGGGUUGCUGCUUUGGAGAAGACUAUCGGUGCUGGGGGCCUUGGAGAGGGCACUCCGAAGAGUGAGAGUUCAGAUGACAAGUUCUGUGAUGAUAUUUUUGGUGAGACACCAACAGGAGUUCGCAAAUUGUGCAAAGGAGAUGGUUUACAAAUUGAAAGGAGUGGUCUUCGUGACAAUUGGGAUGAUGCAGAGGGUUAUUAUGGCUACCGGUUUGGUGAAAUACUUGAUGGCCGAUAUGAAGUUACUGCUGCUCAUGGCAAGGGUGUAUUUUCUACUGUAGUUCGUGCAAAGAAUCUAAAGGCUGGUAAUGGUGAACCGGGGGAAGUGGCAAUAAAAAUUAUACGCAGUAAUGAUACAAUGUACAAGGCUGGUUUGGAGGAGCUAGUCAUAUUAAAGAAACUAGUAGGUGCAGAUCCAGAUGACAAGCGCCAUUGUGUUCGAUUUAUCUCAAGUUUCAAGUACCGGAAUCAUCUUUGCUUAGUUUUUGAAUCUCUUCAUAUGAAUCUGCGUGAGGUUUUAAAGAAGUUUGGGCGCAAUAUUGGCCUUAAGCUAACUGCUGUGAGAGCAUAUGCUAAACAACUUUUUAUUGCCCUGAAGCAUCUGAGAAAUUGUGGUGUUCUUCAUUGUGAUAUAAAACCGGAUAACAUGCUGGUAAAUGAGGCAAAAAAUAUGCUGAAGCUUUGUGACUUUGGCAAUGCUAUGUUUGCUGGUAAAAAUGAAAUUACGCCAUACCUUGUAAGCCGCUUUUAUCGUGCCCCUGAAAUAAUUCUUGGCUUGCCUUAUGAUCAUCCAUUGGAUAUUUGGUCAGUGGGUUGCUGUUUGUAUGAGCUUUAUACGGGAAAGGUUCUUUUUCCAGGUGCUACAAACAAUGACAUGCUACACCUUCAAAUGGAAUUGAAGGGCCCUUUCCCAAAGAAGAUGCUCCGCAAGGGAGCAUUUACGGUUCUCCAUUUUGAUCAGGACUUGAAUUUUCAUGCUACAGAAGAUGAUCCUGUUACGAAAAAGACUAUAAAGCGGAUAAUUCUCAAUGUAAAGCCUAAAGAUAUCUCUUCAAUUAUUACAGGCUCUCCUGGUGAGGAUCCGAAGAUGUUAGCCAAUUUUAAAGACCUUUUAGAAAAAAAUUUUGUGUUGGAUCCAGACAAAAGGAUGACAGUGUCACAAGCAUUGACCCAUCCAUUCAUCACGGGCAAGUGAACAAUGUUGCUGAUUUUAUGACUCCAGAAAUGAUGUUCCGCUAGAUGUUUGUACAUUAUAGCCUCAUUUAUUUUGAGUUUCUAAUUACUGGGCAUUAUCUGUCUUCUCUGUGUUGGCCUAAGAACUUCGACACAGUUUUGGCGUGGUUGAAGUCAAAAUGGGGUGAUGUUUGGUCUGGAGUUCACUUUGCUGGCGGGUUCUUUCGUGGAUUGUACUGUUUCUAUCGAUGUCCACCACUUCUUUGAGGCAACCCUCCACUGCUUAGAUGCUUAAAAGGCACCCAGGAGAAGAUUCUUUUUGGAUGUGUGCCAGCGGUCCAGUGAUGUGACAUUUCUAGAAUAGAUGUGUCAUAAUUUUUCAGAGUCUGGUCAUUCUGGAGGCACUUGCACUGGAGGUCUACGGCUGCAGUCUUGAUGAAAAUGAAUUUAUUGGGUACCGGAUGCUCCUGUAAUCAUUGUAAGUAUAUUUUCUAAUUCCAUUUUCAUGUUUUAUCUUUUUCCCCUUUGCCACAAUCUUUGGUUUAUGAUGUUUGGUUUCUUGUAAUUUUCAUUUUUUAUUCAUGGUUUUUUCCUUCUAGAUAUUUGGCAUGCUCCAUGAAUUGAUUUUGUGUUGUAUAAUUUUAGAUUGAGAAAAUAUAUUUGUAAUUGUGAAUUAUGCAACCGUUGCGUAAUCGCUUUGAAAAAAGUAAAUAAAAUGAGACCCACAUGAAAAAAAUUAAUUUUUUAAUAGUGGAUCCCACUCUUUUUCAAAGUGAUUACGCACUUCAUGGUUGUUUUAGAUUUGUAAUCAAUGCCUUCUAAUGUGAAAGCACAAGGUGUGGUGAUUUACUCAUUAUGAGCCAAGGGAUAAGCCUUGAAGUAUAAGGUGCAACCCCUUUUGGUUCUUGACUAAUAUUAAUGUAUAUAUUAUUGAAAACUUUAUAAAAUUACUGAAAUUAAGAAAUAACUCUGAUUGAUAAACGUUUUCUUAUACAUUUCGACCUUACAAUCUUGUCCAAGACUUUCAAGGUCUGUGAUUGUAUCCUCUUGCAUGUAAGUUAGAGGCUCCAGUGUAAGGAAGACUAAUAUGAGCUAUAUAAUCACUGGUCAAAAGAAGAGGUAGGAGUGGUGAUUAAAUCCUAGACCCAAUCAUUGCCCAUGUUCCAAGAUCUCACUUGAUUCAUGCAUCUGCCUCCUUUGUUUCAGAGCAUGCGUUAACCUGCUUUUGGUCCUCCUUUGCUAUCGCUGCUUUUUAGCCUCAUCUAAACUAGCCAUUAGCAAAAGGUUACCGUGAGUGGUUGGGAUUUUUAUUGGUUAACAGGGGCAAUGUUCAUUUUAAAUAAUUUGGUUCUCUGUUGAGAAACUUCUUGUUUUCUGUCUUAUGAUUGAAAUAAAGGUUGGAAUGUUGUUUGUUGGUAACUGUACCAUCUUAGAAUUGAACUAGCUUUAAAUAGCACAACCUGAGUUGAAAUGUUGUUUGUUGGUAUUAUAACCAUUUCCCAGAAUUGAUUUAGCUUAAAAUGUCAUUCCCUACCUACACAACAAAUUUGGAAUACUAACUUUGCUUCCCAAGAUGCAUGAUUGGAAUGUAUGGUAUGCUCUCUGAGCAUCUGACAACAACUAUUAGUCAAAAUCAUGGAGACAUGAUUGGUGUCGUGUCUGGCAAAAGAUGUGAUUGAUAAAGGAGUGAAUCUUCUAGUUUAGAAAAGAGUAAAUCUUAUACUUGUAACGAUUAUGUAAGUUUUGGUGAUUUACGGUACGAUUUUCCUGUCUGUGCAGAUAUUUGAAUUUACAGUGUAUUGUGUUUUUGUCUCUCUGUCAUCAUCAUUUUGUGGUUGUGAUCGCCUAAUUUCAUAUGUUCUUAAUGCAGGUUUUCUUUAGUAGCAUAGCUUAUCUGUUCAUUUUAGCCAUGAUUGUUUGUAUUAUGGUUUUUUCCCCCUCGUUAUGUUUUUCAUUUUUAUUGGGAGUCAAAUUUGCCAAACAUGUGGUACACCAUGGAGUUAGCUACCGUCCCUAGUCUUCUAGUGACUAGCAUUCUCUUCUUUUUUUUUUUUUUUUUUUUUUAAAUUUUCUUUGAUAAGUAAAGUAGGGAUUUUAUUAAUGAAUAGAGGAAGAAACUUCAGUACAUGGGACAUGUACAUAAAAUCUACUUGACUAUCAAAAGGAGAAAGGGCUAGAAAAUCCUGAAAUUUUGAACUAGAGAGGGUAACAUCAGGUUGGGAAAUUAAGCAAUGCUACAGGGUGACGGGUGUUAAGAACAAAAAUCCUGCAUUCUCUUUUUUAACUUGCACUAUCUUUCUAUAAUCAACAAAACUCAAUACAGUACCUUCAACAUUAUUGCUAUUGAACUAAAAAAACAAGUUUUUAUGACAAAAGUGACGAUUUCAGAUUAGAGUUAUUUAUGUUGGACGUAUUUGGAAACCUGCUUGAUUUUUGGGGUUUGCAAGCUUGUGAUUUUUGUACUUGUUCUAAUGGUGGAAGUUGGAAAGGCUGGGAUUUGUUAGUUGUUUAGGUUGACUAACGGCUUAUCAUGAGGAGAGAUUAGUUUUCAUAAAUGUUCUGGUAGCAGCUGGUUUGAAUGUAGGUUUAAUGGGGCAAUUGUUGGCAAAAACUCUGGACCAGUUGGGUGCAAAGGCUUCAAAGGUAUGAGAUACACUUGCCCUUAAAAAAAAAAAAACAAAUUGUCAAAAAAUGAGAUGCAAGGUAUGAUUUGGAGCUGAAAGAGCUAAGAGAAGAUUGAGAUUAAGUGGCCGUUCUUGGCAUCAUGCCAUGGUGAACACCUGAGAUUUGUGAAUAUAGGAAGAGAAGAGUAGUUAAUAGCAUAGUAUGAGAGGAUAAGAUGGUAUGGGAACCAUGGAAAUGGACACGGGACACAGCUGAGGCACAUGUUUAUAGCAAAACUUAGAAAAGGUGAUAUCAAAACAUGCUACUAACCUGAAGUUCAAUUUUCUUUCGCUUCAAAGAAUCCUAGUCUUUAGAAUUUCCCCCCUUAGGCAUUUUGUUGAAAAAAUAGUAAGCAUAAGCAUAAACACAAUA